AAAGAAGGUUCAUAAAUAAAUAAUUCAAAAAUAUAUAUAGUAAAUAUUUUGCCCUAGAAAAGGUAGUGCCAAAAAAGAAGAAAAAAAAAAUAAUAAAAAAAACUAUGGAUAUAUUUCCUAGAACGAAUGCAAAGUUGUGCCCAAAGUAUUAUUAAUUGUGUGUGUUUCCAGUUUGUACUUUUCUUGGUAUCUGUUAUCGGGGGCAGCUGAUAAGAAAACCCUCUCCCCACCUCGUAAAUACCACCUCGUGCUGUUGACACAGACACGCCACCACCAGAGGAUAGGAGAGGAGAGGAGCAAAGCCCAAUGUCUGAACUAGUUUCUAAUCAAACGAACGGCACGAAUGAAUUCCCUUCGAUUCCACUGAUGAUUCAGUUCUACACAAACAUUGGUUGCCUCUUCAAUUUGGUAAGAAGCAGCAGUUCUAGCCAAGAUCGCACCCUCCCUCUCUUAAGGUUCUUCUGGAGGAACAUUCAUCAGAAUCAGCAUAUCGUAUGUGAAGUGCUCCCCCUGAUUAUGUUUAGUACCGAGAAAUAUACAUAGGAGGUAUCCGUAUAAAUGCCUUAAGUCUGUUUGCAGCUUAUCACGUUCCAGCAGCAGCAGCAGCCUCCAGUCGCCAGCAUGCUCAUAUAAGGCAGGCCAGUAAACGCAUAAAACAUAAUGAAAAGUGUGUUUGGAGCUCAAGAGCAGCUUGUUUUUUGUGGCUGAAAAGGAUUGACUGAGUGUAUGCCCAAAA
Molecule: long non-coding RNA, 736 nt
Organism: Drosophila miranda
Lineage: Eukaryota; Metazoa; Arthropoda; Insecta; Diptera; Drosophilidae
Exons: 2
Source: RefSeq, a predicted model, not a curated record